RNAcentral lists this transfer RNA (76 nucleotides) under Clypeobarbus pleuropholis. RNAcentral's name for it is "tRNA-Lys". It matches the Rfam family "tRNA". Rfam says of the family: Transfer RNA (tRNA) molecules are approximately 80 nucleotides in length. Lineage: Eukaryota; Metazoa; Chordata; Actinopteri; Cypriniformes; Cyprinidae. The record is from RNAcentral.
CGCUAGGAAGCUAAAAAUUGGAUAAAGCAUUGGCCUUUUAAGCCAAAAACUGGUAAUUACCGACUACCCCUAGUGA